RNAcentral lists this ribosomal RNA (509 nucleotides) under Chilopoda sp. CHILOPODA35. RNAcentral's name for it is "partial large subunit ribosomal RNA". It matches the Rfam family "Bacterial large subunit ribosomal RNA", at positions 1809 to 2608 of the family's 2925-position model. The record is from RNAcentral. Lineage: Eukaryota; Metazoa; Arthropoda; Chilopoda.
AAAAACAUUGCCCUUUGUUGUAGCAUGAAGGGUAAGGUCUGCCCAAUGAUUUAUUUGAAUGGCCGCAGUAUUUUGACUGUGCGAAGGUAGCAUAAUCAAUUGUCCUUUAAUUGAGGUCUGGUAUGAAUGAUUUUAUAAAAGACUAGCUGUUUUUCUUGAAGAGGUGAAUUUUUAAGAUAGGUGAAGAUACUUAUAUGUUUUUAAAAGACGAGAAGACCCUAUAAAGUUUUAUACUCCUUGUGAAUAUUUUUCAUAAAAUGGGUAUUUAGUUGGGGCAAUUGUAGAAUAUAAAGAACUUCUUGAAUAUUUAAAUAUUUUGAAUAAAUGAAUGUUAUGAUCCAAAUUUUUGAUUAGCAGAUAAAAUUACUUUAGGGAUAACAGCGUAAUUUGUUUUUGGAGUUCUUAUCGAUGGACAAGAUUGCGACCUCGAUGUUGGAUUAAGAUACCUUUAUGGUGCAGGUGCUAUUUAGGGGCAGUCUGUUCGACUGUUAAAUUCUUACAUGAUCUGA